This is a long non-coding RNA of Solea senegalensis (Senegalese sole), 594 nucleotides long. RefSeq lists it as uncharacterized. The transcript is spliced from 2 exons. The record is from RefSeq and is a predicted model, not a curated record. NCBI's taxonomy places the organism in Eukaryota, Metazoa, Chordata, Actinopteri, Pleuronectiformes, Soleidae.
AUCACAACAUCUUUUUAGGGCUGAAAGCUGCAGAUGCUGAUCAGCAACUGUUGGGUUGUGCUCUCGAUUGUUUCUCACACCAACACCUAGUGUUACUUCCUCAUACAGUUAUGUUUUCUGAAUAUCUUGCAGAGCAUUAUGCAGCCUUGGUUUGUACAUUGAUAGGAGUGCCGGGUUACGGUGUGUAUAUGAGGAAGAAGAGUGACCCCCUCCUUUCGGCUCUGGCAUCUCAGGAAUGUGUAGUUUGCCCAGCACUAUUCACACAACAGUGCUGACUAAUGAAUGCCACAGAUCAGCAGUUUGAUGAGGACGACACUGCAUGGAAGUGAUGAAGGUCCUGAAGGCAUUGUACAGAGCAGAGCUACAUCAUCAAUCCUGUCAGUGAUCACUCACCGGCUAAUUACUUUAAUGGGGGUCAAGUGUAUUGGACAAAGGUGGUGAAGAGGAGGGAGAUAAUUUAUUGUAAAAAACAUCCUGGCCUGUUUCAUCACACGUCGUAAAACAAGAUUUUACUGCCUAAAACCCUGUCAUAUGAGAAUGUGAAGCUCAGCUCUUGAGGUUACUAAUCUUGCACCAUUAAAUGCCUAAAAUCUC